Molecule: ribosomal RNA, 389 nt
Filed under: Embryophyta sp.
Lineage: Eukaryota; Viridiplantae; Streptophyta
Description: partial small subunit ribosomal RNA
Rfam family: Eukaryotic small subunit ribosomal RNA
Source: RNAcentral
AUUCCAGCUCCAAUAGCGUAUAUUUAAGUUGUUGCAGUUAAAAAGCUCGUAGUUGGAUCUUGGGUCGUAAGGGUCGGUCCGCCUACUCGGUGUGCACCUGCCCUUCCGUCCCUUUUGUCGGCGGCGUGCUCCUGGCCUUAAUUGGUUGGGUCGCGGUUCCGGCGCUGUUACUUUGAAAAAAUUAGAGUGCUCAAAGCAAGCUUAUGCUCUGAAUACAUUAGCAUGGAAUAACGUGAUAGGAGUCUGGUCCUAUUGUGUUGGCCUUCGGGACCGGAGUAAUGAUUAAUAGGGACUGUCGGGGGCAUUCGUAUUUCAUUGUCAGAGGUGAAAUUCUUGGAUUUAUGAAAGACGGACCACUGCGAAAGCAUUUGCCAAGGAUGUUUUCAUUG